RNAcentral lists this ribosomal RNA (465 nucleotides) under uncultured bacterium. Its description in RNAcentral is "partial 16S ribosomal RNA". It matches the Rfam family "Bacterial small subunit ribosomal RNA", at positions 28 to 506 of the family's 1533-position model. The record is from RNAcentral.
GAUGAACGCUGGCGGCGUGCUUAACACAUGCAAGUCGAACGGAAAGGCUCCUGCUUGCAGGGGUACUCGAGUGGCGAACGGGUGAGUAACACGUGGGUGAUCUGCCCAGCACUUCGGGAUAAGCCUGGGAAACUGGGUCUAAUACCGGAUAGGACGAUGGUUUGGAUGCCAUUGUGGAAAGUUUUUUCGGUGUGGGAUGAGCUCGCGGCCUAUCAGCUUGUUGGUGGGGUAAUGGCCUACCAAGGCGUCGACGGGUAGCCGGCCUGAGAGGGUGCACGGCCACAUUGGGACUGAGAGACGGCCCAGACUCCUACGGGAGGCAGCAGUGGGGAAUAUUGCACAAUGGGCGCAAGCCUGAUGCAGCGACGCCGCGUGGGGGAUGACGGCCUUCGGGUUGUAAACUCCUUUCGCUAGGGACGAAGCGCAAGUGACGGUACCUGGAGAAGAAGCACCGGCUAACUACGU